ACUCCUACGGGAGGCAGCAGUGGGGAAUAUUGCACAAUGGGCGCAAGCCUGAUGCAGCCAUGCCGCGUGUAUGAAGAAGGCCUUCGGGUUGUAAAGUACUUUCAGCGGGGAGGAAGGCGAUAAGGUUAAUAACCUUGUUGAUUGACGUUACCCGCAGAAGAAGCACCGGCUAACUCCGUGCCAGCAGCCGCGGUAAUACGGAGGGUGCAAGCGUUAAUCGGAAUUACUGGGCGUAAAGCGCACGCAGGCGGUCUGUCAAGUCGGAUGUGAAAUCCCCGGGCUCAACCUGGGAACUGCAUUCGAAACUGGCAGGCUAGAGUCUUGUAGAGGGGGGUAGAAUUCCAGGUGUAGCGGUGAAAUGCGUAGAGAUCUGGAGGAAUACCGGUGGCGAAGGCGGCCCCCUGGACAAAGACUGACGCUCAGGUGCGAAAGCGUGGGGAGCAAACAGGAUUAGAUACCCUUGUAGUCCCAUG
Molecule: ribosomal RNA, 473 nt
Filed under: uncultured organism
Description: partial 16S ribosomal RNA
Rfam family: Bacterial small subunit ribosomal RNA
Source: RNAcentral